AAUGAACCUAUCGAGUCGACCUCGUCGGAUGAGCUCCUCGAUCUCGUCUCGGAGCUGGAUGCAUUCCUCCAUGCCGUGGCCGUGGUCACGAUGGUAGAGGCAGAACUUGUUAGGAUUGCACUUCUCGGGGUGCGUGCGCAUCCUCUCUGGCCUUGGGAGCUGCUCUCUGACCUCCAUCAGCACCUGGAUUUUCGAUGCGUU
RNAcentral lists this long non-coding RNA (201 nucleotides) under Elaeis guineensis (African oil palm). Its description in RNAcentral is "long non-coding RNA (EGUI_LNC062416)". The record is from RNAcentral. Lineage: Eukaryota; Viridiplantae; Streptophyta; Magnoliopsida; Arecales; Arecaceae.